UAGGGAAUAUUGCGCAAUGGGCGAAAGCCUGACGCAGCAACGCCGCGUGAAGGAUGAAGGCCUUCGGGUCGUAAACUUCUGUCAAAUGGGAAGAAGGUUUGUAGGUUAAGAGCUAGUGAACUUGACGGUACCAUCAGAGGAAGUCCCGGCUAACUCCGUGCCAGCAGCCGCGGUAAUACGGAGGGUGCGAGCGUUAAUCGGAAUUACUGGGCGUAAAGCGCGCGUAGGCGGUUGCUUAAGUCGGAUGUGAAAGCCCCGGGCUCAACCUGGGAACUGCAUUCGAUACUGGGCGACUAGAGUACGAGAGAGGGAGGUAGAAUUCCACGUGUAGCGGUGAAAUGCGUAGAUAUGUGGAGGAAUACCGGUGGCGAAGGCGGCCUCCUGGCUCGAUACUGACGCUGAGGAGCG
This 408-nucleotide ribosomal RNA is filed under the name uncultured bacterium. RNAcentral describes it as "bacterial SSU rRNA". It matches the Rfam family "Bacterial small subunit ribosomal RNA", at positions 355 to 755 of the family's 1533-position model. The record is from RNAcentral.